CCCUUAGAUGUUCUGGGCCGCACGCGCGCUACACUGAUGCAUUCAACGAGUCUAAAACCUGCUCUGAUAGGGGUGGGUAAUCUUUUGAAUGUGCAUCGUGAUUGGGAUAGAUGAUUGCAAUUUUUCAUCUUCAACGAGGAAUGCCUAGUAAACGCAAGUCAUCAGCUUGCAUUGAUUACGUCCCUGCCCUUUGUACACACCGCCCGUCGCUCCUACCGAUUGAAUGAUCCGAUGAAUAUCAUGGAUUGAGGAUGCAAGUAGGUUAGCCUAUCUUCAUCUUCGAGAAGUGAAGUAAAUCUUAUCAUUUAGAGGAAGGUGAAGUCGUAACA
Molecule: ribosomal RNA, 329 nt
Filed under: uncultured eukaryote
Lineage: Eukaryota
Description: partial 18S ribosomal RNA
Rfam family: Eukaryotic small subunit ribosomal RNA
Source: RNAcentral